UAUUUGCCUGUCAUUCCCUGUUUAUAUCUUAAUAAGCUUAUAUAGCUAAAGAUUGAUUUUUGCCCCAUGAAUCAUUCUUGCAUUAUUCCAAACAAACUGAGACUCAAGGUCGAAAUCCGCAGCUUUGAAGUUACGGGCAACCUUUUAGUUUCGUUUCGUGUUGACGUUUAACAAAACCAUUUCAGACGCCAUUUUUAUCUUAACCGUUCGAGCUGACAACUGGAUGUUAUCAACUUGAAUUACAGUUUUGUGCUAGAAUUCUUAUGCCGAUACCGUACCGUUUCGCGCAUAGAGUAUUGAAUUAUCUUGUUAUUGAACUGGGAAGCCAAAGUGAAGAUUCGCUUUCUUUACAGGUGUCUCUGCACAGAAUUCCACGAACAAAAGUACUGUGAAGUUUUAAUUUGUACUGAUUGAGAAAGAGUCCCCUUUCCCCCAGAAAAGACAAAGAUGGGCUUGGAACCUGGAUUUAUUCAAGAUUUACAACGAUUAUUACGUUUGUCGGAUAUUUUAAACUUGGAUGAUUGUGAAAUUAAACAGUGUUUUAUUCCUACGCAGACACGCCGUGACUUUGAAGCUGUAGAUAAUGAAGCAGCGUGUUCUUGUAUGUUUGCACAAAUGUGUAGUGAUUUUCAAGCUUUAAGGAAUUAUUUCGAACUUCAGAAACGGAUUUAUUGUAUCUAUGGUGUCGAAAGUACAACGUCUGGUAUUAGGGCAUUAAAAGAAAUGGAAGUCUUGAUCUUUCAACUAGCUGGAUAUUGGGAAGACCAAGGAAAGUGGCAAGAUUUUUUGGAGGCUUUCUGUUAUCUGAAAUCUCAGUUGUGUUUGGAGCUGAGAGAAUUUGUGGACGAAGUGGUUGAAAAAGUAGAAACGAAACUGCACAGAUGUUCUUCUCCAACGGAAGAGACGAGGUUGAUGCAAACUUGCUUCAACAUACGAAAAUUGCUGCCCAUCAGUAUGUGAGCAACAUUGUUUUUGUUGAGACUAUCAAACACUUUCAAAUAAAGCUUGGAACAUGUAAUGAACGAAGGCGAAUUGUCUACGCAGAGCACUAGAUGUAUACAUGAACUAAAAAAUAAAUACGAAAGUGUUUUUAAGCCAU
RNAcentral lists this unclassified non-coding RNA (1099 nucleotides) under Stegodyphus dumicola. RNAcentral describes it as "uncharacterized LOC118193466, transcript variant X3". Lineage: Eukaryota; Metazoa; Arthropoda; Arachnida; Araneae; Eresidae. The record is from RNAcentral.